AACGAACGCUGGCGGCGCGCCUAACACAUGCAAGUCGAACGAGAAGGCGUAGCAAUACGCUUGUACAGUGGCGAACGGGUGAGUAAUACGUGGGUGACCUACCCUCGAGUGGGGAAUAACCCGCCGAAAGGCGGGCUAAUGCCGCGUACGCUUCCGCCCUCACGGGGGCGGAAGGAAAGCUGUACCGUGGGUACGGCGCUCAAGGAUGGGCUCACGUCCUAUCAGCUUGUUGGUAGGGUAACGGCCUACCAAGGCUCCGACGGGUAGCUGGUCUGAGAGGACGAUCAGCCACACUGGCACUGCGACACGGGCCAGACUCCUACGGGAGGCAGCAGUGAGGAAUAUUGCGCAAUGGGCGAAAGCCUGACGCAGCGACGCCGCGUGGGGGAUGAAGGUCUUCGGAUUGUAAACCCCUUUCGGGAGGGAAGAUGGGACGGGCAACCGUUCGGACGGUACCUCCAGAAGCAGCCACGGCUAACUUCGUGCCAGCAGCCGCGGUAAUACGAAGGUGGCAAGCGUUGUUCGGAUUUACUGGGCGUACAGGGAGCGUAGGUGGCUUGGUAAGCCCU
Molecule: ribosomal RNA, 569 nt
Filed under: uncultured soil bacterium
Lineage: Bacteria
Description: bacterial SSU rRNA
Rfam family: Bacterial small subunit ribosomal RNA
Source: RNAcentral